AUCAAUUCCUUUCUCCUAAAAGUUGCCAUCCUAAACACUGCUCCCGUGGUAUCCCAUUCAGCCAGGCAUUGCGAAUCAAGAGAAUAUGCUCUACUGAAAAUACGAAAAAUUCUAGACUUGGACAACUUCGUAAACAUCUAGUUGUUCGAGGAUACAAUAACAACAUCAUUGAUAGCGCUUUCGAAAGAGCAAACAGAACUAGUCGCCAAGAACUUCUUGAGUACAAAGAUAAGAAUAAAGCAGCUAACAGAACACCCC
RNAcentral lists this long non-coding RNA (258 nucleotides) under Mytilus galloprovincialis (Mediterranean mussel). Lineage: Eukaryota; Metazoa; Mollusca; Bivalvia; Mytilida; Mytilidae. The record is from RNAcentral.